Long non-coding RNA from Panicum virgatum (switchgrass), 329 nucleotides. RefSeq lists it as uncharacterized. The record is from RefSeq and is a predicted model, not a curated record. NCBI's taxonomy places the organism in Eukaryota, Viridiplantae, Streptophyta, Magnoliopsida, Poales, Poaceae. The transcript is spliced from 3 exons.
UUUUAUCAUGGUGACUGAGAAACAAAGUCAGGUGUUGAAUGAAGAUGUGCACAGGUUUAAAGAUCAAGUUGGCCACUUUUCCCAGAAAGUUGCUCUAGCUGGUUGUAAUGACUUUGAAUUUAGUCCAGCAAAAUGGUGGGGAAAUUAUGGAACACAGGUUCCAACUUUACAAAAAAUGGCCAUAAGAAUCUUGUACUUGACUUCCAGUGCAUCUGGCUGUGAAAGGAAUUGGAGUUGCUUUGAAGGGAUUCAUACAAGUAAAAGAAACAGGCUGACAUGUGAGAGGUUGAAUCAGCUUGUCUUUGUUCGGUUCAAUAAUCUACAUGCAA